Molecule: long non-coding RNA, 3159 nt
Filed under: Homo sapiens (human)
Lineage: Eukaryota; Metazoa; Chordata; Mammalia; Primates; Hominidae
Description: HSALNT0009910
Source: RNAcentral
UUAUGUUUUUAAAGUUAUUCCUUCUUUAUUUUUUUAAUCACAGCAAUCCUCCCCUCAUCCAUGGUUUCAUUUUCUAUGGUUCCAGUUACUCAUGGUCAACCAUGGUCAGAAAACAGGACAAACUGAGAGUAAAAGAUGCAGGAAUAAAACACAGAAAUCAAAAUAAAGGGUUUACUGCUGAAAAAUCCGCUUGAACAAGCCUGUUAAUGUGAUCUUCCUGAAUGAAGCCAGCUUACCCCUAGGCCUCCACUGUCCCUCAGGAAAGAGAACACGAAAACUGGAACUCUCUGCAGAAAGGAGGAUCCCAAAGAAGGGGCCAAGCUGUACAUUUAUCAAUCAGGAAAGCCACUCCACCCUCCAUGGCAGCCCCUACAAUUUGAAACAAGUAUUCUUCCUAACAUAACACAUUAAUUCAUGAGUUUAUCAGUUCAUUUCAUUUUUACUUUGAGAUUUUUGUGAAUAACCAUAGAAAAAUCUAUUUCACCUGGCAAUAAAUAGGAAAAGGCACAGCAUAAUGUUUAAAUACAGAGAAUAUUGUUACAUGUAAGAUGUUGAUUGAAUGUUCUAAAUACAAUUUGAAAACUGCGUGAGAGGAGGAAAACGUAUAUUCAGAAGGACUUAGGUGAAUCCAGAUGAAUAUUUUCAUGACAGGAUGUUGGCUAUUGAUAUGAAGAAAGUAGAGGAAUAGACUUGCUAAAAGUUAGAGGAGUCUAGUUUAUCUUCCAAGAAGCUUUGCAACCCUGUAAUACUGUAGAAAUCACAAAUUUGGCAAUAAUUUUAAGAUAAUUUAUGUUCAUUUUUUAUGGAAUGCCAUGUUUAUCUUUUUAUAUAUGACAUUUUCUGGUCAGUAGUAAUAUAUAUAUCCUUUAUUAAAAUUGGAAAAUAAAUACAAACAUUUUAUUUAUUUAUUGGUUAAAAAAUUAUUAUGCUCAUUCUUUUUUUUUUUAACCAGUAAGGAUCUGGAUAAAGAAAAACAUUUUAGAAAACCACUUGUAGAGUACCAUGAACCAGUCUCUCUUCUCCAUUUUAAAAAAUUUAUUGACUCACUUUUUUUCCAUAACUUUUUGAGAUAUUAUUUCAACCACUUUGCAUUUAGAGAAAAAGAGUCAGAGAGUGAUUAAGAAAUCUGCCCAAUGCUAUACUGAUAGAAGCUGGGAGAACUGGGAUUUGAGCUUACAUAGGCUAGUUCUAGCAUUUGUGAAGUUCUCGCCUAAUAAAAAUUAUCUGUAAUCAUAACCAGAGCAAGUCAUUUCUAACCUCCUGUCUAUAGACACGCGGAUACAUUUGUAAUGUUUUUGUUUGUUUGUUUUUAGCACGACAGAUCAAUUCCUGCUGGCAUUAUAGUUCUUUAACUAUCAUAGCUUCUCUGAUUUUUCAACACAUCUGUCAUCCGUAUUCUGCAGGCAUAGCCAACUCUGUCAGUGUCUCCUCAGGCAAUCAGAAUCAACAGACAGAAUGUAGGACAGAAAACUGGCUGCAAACAUGUUGGAAGGGCUGGAGGAGCGAAAGAGGGAAGAUCUGUUACCUAGAGAUAGUAACUUCCAGAAGUUACCACUAUACUAGUGCAGGAGAAGCAGAAAGGAAGAUGCUGCUACCCAGAGCCCACAGUCAUUGUGCCCCUGAUGCCGCUGGAACCCCACUGCAGCUGCUUUACAGGAAGCAGGGAAUUAGCGCUCUUGCUGAUGCUACAGGUAUCCAGGAUCCAAAAGUCAUCAGCCGCUGUCCCUGUUGCAGCCUAGGGAAACUGUCCCACUGAGGUUGUUGGGGUACCUGCUACUGCAUCUACUGUCUGAACCAUGUUGCCUGAGCAGAUGUCCAGGGCUCAGGCUUGCCUGCUGCUGUUACUGCUGCCACCAUGUUUAUCAGAGCUACUUCAAGAAGAGAAGAAAUCCUCCUCAUUUCCAGUUUUUUCCAGUGCCUCCCAUUGCUUCCCAGAAUGCCAAAUUCUCUUUGAGAGACAGCUGAAAGGAAGGUUUGGAAAAGACUCUGGUGUAAGCAGAUUCUGCUUCCCUGCAAUAGGGGGAAAGCAUAGGGUGGAACUGGAGCUGAGAGCUAAUCACGAAUGAGCAAAUCAGUCUUCAAGACAUUUACCUUUCCUUGAAACGUUUCCCUUCUUUUACCGUGUUUUCCAUGUCAUUAUUUUUCCACAAUUCUGCAUCAUAUUCUGUUAACUAUUAAUGCCCUGGAUAAGUUUAUUUGCUCUUUCUUAGGGUUAAUUUUUCUCCUUUUCUUCGAAGCUUUAGUUUGCAGGUUCAGCUUGUGUGGGAAUUUUCAUCUCCCUCCUCUUCAAGACUCCUUGGAUAUCAGUUUUUUGGUUGCCUUCACCAACUCUCCCCCCACCAUCUCUAGACCAGGGCAUGGUCUUAGUUGGUGGCUUGGACUCCUGUGGCUUGGAGUCUUUGGGGAUAUUAGAGAUCCAGUCACUGAGCUGGCAAAGGGAACACUGUCCUUGCUUCCAGCUUUAUGAAGAACGCUUUGCUCUGUCACCCCACGUGAGUCCAACUCUUGGCUGCCUACACUGCCUGAGGCUUCAGUUCUGGCAUCGUGCUGCAUGUGAUCUAUUAUCCUGCUUUUGAAUAUGCCUAUGACUUUUCUUUAUAUAUUUUUAAAAAUGUUAUUAUUGGUAUGUUUACAGUGAAGGGAAGAAUGUGAAGCAUGAACUCAAGAGUCACAGUAAUGAUAAAUUUUAAUGAUUGUAAUUGUCCUAUCUGUCAUAAUACAUUUAUUUUGUUGAUUUGUUUGGAUUUUCUAGGUAAAUAAUCAUGUUAUUCAAGGAUAAUGAAUGCAGCCACCAUGUAAUCAUCACUGACUCCAUGGCCAUGAGAAAAGAGACCUAAGAAAUGAUGCCCAUCCAGAAGAGUGAAGACUUCCUGAAAAUGUUCUUUUAACCUAAGAUGUAGGUUAAGAGGAGUGAAAAAAUGUUCUGUUUCUGACUGAUGAUGGAGCAACAAAGAUCCUAAGAGCGAUCCCGCAAUUCAUUCAUCUUGAAUAGACUCAUAGAGCUUCAAGAGUGGGCUUCUGAAGCCCACUCCAACUCCAUUCUUGUUCCUUGGUCCCUCUGGAGCUGGUCUGGCCCCUAAGGAUGUGAGCCAAAGGUUUCUAAAUGUUUGAUGAGUUCCAGAGUGUUUGAGUUAAUUUUUGUUGAUGCACUGACAGUUG